UGCCGGCAGAGACGGGUGACCCUGCCACACCGGUGAAAACAUGCAAGUACCAAUUUUCAGUAUUAAUAAUUCCUGCAGAGAGAAAACUGCCGAGAGUGGCCAGUGCAUGCAACAACGCCGGAGAAUGUCUCAGUGUGGGUCACAGACACCUUUCAGUCUCCUCCUGUGUGCUUGUCUCCAAAAGUGGGAGCUACCACGGGGGCUGAUAAACACCAGUACAGAGACAACGUCCAGCUCAGAAAGUCCUGAAGCUGCAGAUCGCGGGAAACCAGGAGGAUUUGCUGGGAAAGGACCUGUCCUUGGGCUCCUUCCCCUGCACCCUGUUAGCUCCUGAGGGUUUCCCCCCAGCACACCAGUACCAGAGGUUACGGCUGUAGCAAACCCAUCCUUCAACUCCAGAAGACACUGCUGGAGAGUCCACGCUCUGACGCCAGUUGGUGACAAGGUGCUUUGCCAGAAGGACCUUCGAUCUGCCUCAUUAAUGGAAUAUUUUCCUUUUAACAGCCAAGAACAUGAACAUGGGGGCAAAACCUCCCAUCCGUCUCUGCCCGCAGCUCCCCAGGGGUAUUGCACAGGUUCAUCCUCACCUGCUCGAGGUGUAAAGUGGCAGCACAGGGCAGGAUGGCCUGGCCAGCCAUCUGCCAUCGUUCACCCCCUCUCUGCCCCAGCCUGGAGCCUUUGUGGUGUCCAGAAACUCAAUAUCUGGGCCCCAAUAUGAACCCUGCACUAGUUGACUUAACCCUGCCUGCUCCAGCAGACCUGCGGGUGAGAGCCGGAGUGAGCACAGCUCAGAAACUCGUCUGACUUUCUGGCACCAUCCUGCCCAAAGCUUCUUUACGCUUUCCCUGCAAGGUAAAUCCUCUACGGUUCUCUGAGAAAAACUCGAGGCAACCUUGGAACAAGUGCUUGUGCCACGUGCAUGCAUACACAGCCCACACGAUUCAAGUGUCCGGCUCCCAGACCAGCUCAUGGACUGAAUGAAUCCAGGCAUGACCAGCCCCAAGCUUCCUCUGGAAAAAAUGACAGGUCAUGGACCCACCUCUCCAGUGCAAUCUUGCAGCAAGCGCAUUUUGAUCUCACCACCAACUCUAACCUGCACUAUUAACAUCAACCAAGGGAUGGUUAGGCACAUCUUGAGCGGUGCUCCAAAGAACAGGUGGAGGAACUUAAAAGGUUUGCAAAGGCUGAGAUGCUGCACCCACCUCACAGGUAUUUUCAGGAGGAGGAAUGUUGUCUUCUCGUCCAGUCUUAUAGAUGACAUGACUUUGGACAUGCACGUACCUUGUGUCAUGUCAGGGCUGUUCACCCCACAGUUGUGCCCGCUCACCCCGGGGAUGAGCCAUGCGGAGGGAACCUGGGACAUAUUCCUCUCCAUCUCUCUUCAAACACGACAGCAGGGACAAGGACAACGCCAAGCGGGGCUUCCUCCACCAACAUCAUCCUUCGCCUGGGAAAUUAAAAAUCAGAGGCGUCACAAAG
Grus americana (Whooping crane) is the source of this 1479-nucleotide long non-coding RNA. RefSeq lists it as uncharacterized. The transcript has 3 exons. The record is from RefSeq and is a predicted model, not a curated record. Lineage: Eukaryota; Metazoa; Chordata; Aves; Gruiformes; Gruidae.